AGGUGGUGCAUGGUUGUCGUCAGCUCGUGUCGUGAGAUGUUCGGGUUAAGUCCCGCAACGAGCGCAACCUCGACCUUAGUUGCCAGCAUUCAGUUGGGCACUCUAAGGUGACUGCCGGCUAAAAGUCGGAGGAAGGUGGGGAUGACGUCAAAUCAUCAUGCCCCUUAUGACCUGGGCUACACACGUGCUACAAUGGGCGGUACAAAGGGUCGCGAACCCGCGAGGGGGAGCCAAUCCCAAAAAGCCGCUCUCAGUUCGGAUUGCAGGCUGCAACUCGCCUGCAUGAAGCCGGAAUCGCUAGUAAUCGCGGAUCAGCACGCCGCGGUGAAUACGUUCCCGGGCCUU
Molecule: ribosomal RNA, 345 nt
Filed under: uncultured Anoxybacillus sp.
Lineage: Bacteria; Bacillati; Bacillota; Bacilli; Caryophanales; Anoxybacillaceae
Description: bacterial SSU rRNA
Rfam family: Bacterial small subunit ribosomal RNA
Source: RNAcentral